GGGCAAGAAGAAGAAA
Molecule: small RNA, 16 nt
Filed under: Arabidopsis thaliana (thale cress)
Lineage: Eukaryota; Viridiplantae; Streptophyta; Magnoliopsida; Brassicales; Brassicaceae
Description: ATSL013080
Source: RNAcentral